AGUGAACGCUGGCGGUAGGCCUAACACAUGCAAGUCGAACGGCGGCACAGUAAGAGCUUGCUCUUACGGGUGGCGAGUGGCGGACGGGUGAGGAAUACAUCGGAAUCUACUUUUUCGUGGGGGAUAACGUAGGGAAACUUACGCUAAUACCGCAUACGACCUACGGGUGAAAGCAGGGGAUCUUCGGACCUUGCGCGAUUGAAUGAGCCGAUGUCGGAUUAGCUAGUUGGCGGGGUAAAGGCCCACCAAGGCGACGAUCCGUAGCUGGUCUGAGAGGAUGAUCAGCCACACUGGAACUGAGACACGGUCCAGACUCCUACGGGAGGCAGCAGUGGGGAACAUUGGACAAUGGGCGCAAGCCUGAUCCAGCCAUACCGCGUGGGUGAAGAAGGCCUUCGGGUUGUAAAGCCCUUUUGUUGGGAAAGAAAAGCAGCAGGUUAAUACCCCACUGUUCUGACGGUACCCAAAGAAUAAGCACCGGCUAACUUCGUG
Molecule: ribosomal RNA, 492 nt
Filed under: uncultured bacterium
Lineage: Bacteria
Description: partial 16S ribosomal RNA
Rfam family: Bacterial small subunit ribosomal RNA
Source: RNAcentral